UGUUUAAAUUCUACAAAUUUUGAGUAUAAAUUUAAGCAAAUGAUUUGUGUCUGAAUUCCGCAUAUUACGGCUGUAAUUUCCAUUGAUAUUUUACAGCUUUUUAUCAUCGCAGUUGAAGCUUGACGGCUGGAUUUUGCCAAAUUUCCCAAUCAUCAUUUUCUGCAAAGGUGAAAACGUUUAAUGCUGAGAAUAUUUUCGCCAUGGAAGACGGUGGAGCCUAUAAGACUGCAGUACAGAGUGGCAUUGGAGAACAAGUCGACCCUUCGCUUCAAAAAAAUAAGAGACGAAAUUCACAAAUAAUUCCAAUGAUAGUGAAGCAAUUGAUCUCUAUGCUUCAACAAGCAUCACAAAAUCUUAAUAUGUCCUCUCAAAAUCUUCAACUC
This is a long non-coding RNA of Cryptomeria japonica (Japanese cedar), 383 nucleotides long. RefSeq lists it as uncharacterized. Lineage: Eukaryota; Viridiplantae; Streptophyta; Pinopsida; Cupressales; Cupressaceae. The record is from RefSeq and is a predicted model, not a curated record. The transcript has 3 exons.